Peromyscus eremicus (cactus mouse) is the source of this 5347-nucleotide long non-coding RNA. RefSeq lists it as uncharacterized. NCBI's taxonomy places the organism in Eukaryota, Metazoa, Chordata, Mammalia, Rodentia, Cricetidae. The transcript has 3 exons. The record is from RefSeq and is a predicted model, not a curated record.
ACCAAGGUCACAGCAAACACCAGUGUCUGUGGCUGAAGAUCUAGGGAGGCUUGUGGCCGCAUCACCCCAAAUCAGACUACAGAUAGAGGUCCCUCAUCCAUGUGGCCCACCCCCAGUACCUGGUCCUGACAUCUGGGGCAGAUCCACAUGCCCUUGGGAAUUGUUUUCAGAGGAGGGUCUAAGCAAUCCAGAUGAUACACACGCGAACACGUGUCACACAUCAGCAACUGGCCACUCUUUCUGCAAACACUGCAAAAAUCCUCGUGGAUAUCACCCUAUGAGACGGAGAGGAAAGAAUCUUCUUAAAGAGUAUCCACUGUGGAGGAGCACGCAGAGGGCUAGGGAACCUCACAGCAGCAAGCUUUGAGUUCCAAGCAUGCCACUCUUCACUGGGACGCUAGUUCUUCACGUUUGCUCCCACGGCCAGACAGCAGGAACACCAGCUAAUGUUUUUAGGGACACUGGUAGGUGGUUCUGCUUAAUACUGGGAUUUUUAGGUAACAUGAAAACUAACUAUCAUGGGGCAGUUUCCCUGCACCUGUAUCCCUGAGACAGAACGUAAGAUCUUUCAACUGGAAAGAGCAAUGCACUGAUGGUUAUACUUUGCUUUGGCUGCUGUGAUCUGAAAAGUAUGUCUUCACUGUCUACUGAAGCACUGCAUGGCUCCUACAGACCCAAGAACAGAGAAGGAAAUAGUCUCUGGUGAAUGAAAACACCUUCAACUACUAGUCAACACAUUCCCAUAGUUACCAACAAGUUUGGUCUCACACACAAACACACACACACCUCUCCAAGAGAGUAAUCUCAGUAGGCUAUAUUCAACUGGAAGACAGCAUUUGCUACUACACAUGAUGGUACCUGCAAUGGGUCGCUGACAUGAGAUAUCCUUUCUUUUCACAAAUAAACUACGGUGUUUGUGCAUAAUGGUGAAUGCCUGUAAUCCAAGCACCAGGGAGGCAGAAGCAGGUGGAUUCUGCAAGUGUAAGGCCAGCCUGGGCUACACAGCCAAUUCCAACUCAGCUAGGAACAUCCAGCAAGGCCCUGUCUCAAAAAGGUUUCUUUUUGCUAAGUUUGCUGUUUCCUCUCAGUGUAAUAUUUGCCAUUACUUUCUGUGAAUGAUCUACAAGUUUUUCAGCAAUACUGGUAACAAGCGCUUCUUUUUGGUUCAAGUUCUGGCCCUUUAAAAAAUCCAGCUGAUUUCACAUCAGAGAGAAGUGUUUGGUACCUGCUGGUUCAAUAGAUUAUCAUCUUCAUGCCACUGUCUGGUAUGGUUUCACUAUGAAAAUGCAUUGAGGACAGAGGCUCCCAUAAACUCCAUCCCCAGCUAUUUACCAUCAUAACCACACCACCAUCUGUGUUUUCCUUCACAUCUGUCUGUGCAAGAGCAUCAAGCUAGAAUGUCCUCUCAUCCAGGGACACACAGACAGCCCGUUGCCUAGGCUGGGCUUGUUGACUGCUUAUGUCAUAGUGAGUGUGGACAUUACCUUCUUCAACCCACUUUCACACUCUACUUUUGAGACACUAAUUCCUUUGGGAUUUAUUGCUCUAAUAUAAUAAAGUGGCCUAACAAAACUGAACACACAAUGGCAAUCCACAAUGUAAAGAGACAUCAGCUGAUUCCCUCAGCUGCCCUAUAGACGUUGUCUGAGACAAGCACAGCACCGCCUUCCUUAGGAAUGUUACAGGACACCUGGGAAAUUAAUCACUCAUCUUCUGCGUCAAGUUUACAGGAUUCAUAUAAAAACAUCGUUUCAGAACUCUUCCUUUCAGCACCCGUACCUGGGCCCGCAGGACUCUGCUAAAAGACCCUGCCCCAGGUCGACCUGACGUGGUAACUGCACUGCUGAGGGAAAGGAACACCGAGAGGACUAAACCCCGCACCCUGAGCUGACGGGCCGUGCAGAGGGUCCUACCUGAGGGUUCUCUUCUCGUUUUGGUUUUGGGGCAGCAGGUGGAGUGAUGGUACGGCUCUCUGCUUGUUUCUCCUCUGUUUCUGUGUGGGAUUUAACUGUCUAGGAGAGAACAAUUAAGCAAAAAUUCAGAAUUAGUUUUUUAUAAAAAAAAUUGAGAACAGUUUAAUAAUGUACUCCAAUACAAAACAUUAACAGAUAAGUUCAUAUGAUGCAUCUUGUUGAGGAGGAAGAAAAAAUGUCAAAGUCCAGCAAGAGACACUGGAUUUCAUGACUGGGGUAAAUAUGACUCUAUAAAUACAAUCAGAUAAAGGUAUAUAGUUCUUACAUAUAAAAAAAGAAGUGCUGAAGGUAAGGUACCUGUUGCCAAGUUUGAUAACCAGAAAUUUGAUCCCCAAGAUCCACAUGGCGGAAAAAGACAACUAACCUCCCUGAGUGUCUCUUGACCCCCACAUGGGCACCACGGCACACUCACUGCCCAGGAAAUAAUAAGGCAAACAAGGGCUCAGAGGUUAAAAGCACUGGCUUCUCUUGAAGUGGAUCUUGGUUCAGUUCUCAGCACCUACAUGGCAGCUCACAACCAUCUGUAACUCUGGGCCCUCUUUUGGCCUAUUUGGGCACCAGGCACACACAUGGUGUACAGACAUAAAUUCAGGCAAAAUAUCCAAAUAUAUGAAAUUAAAAGGUGAUAAGAAAUUAUUUUUUUAAAGGCAAAGAAAAACUAAAGUAGAGGCUGUUUUCCUUGGCUGUGGGAUGUGGAGAUUUCCAGAAACAUCCCAUUGUUGUUAUAUACGGGUCAAGUUCUGUGUCCAAAUGUUCUUAAGAUCUGCGUGACAUAACAGUUCUUCUAUCCCAAACUUUUCUUCAGAACAACCCCAAGCACUACCCAGAACUACCUUAACUUGGGGUGCUUAAAAACUGCCUUGCAAGAGGCUGAAGUUCUAAUCCCUCCCAACUCCUUCUAGAAGCAUUCACUUCAACAUAGAAACACCAGUUACAUUACUAUCUGCUGACACAAAUGGUAGCUAGUACAACGGCAGUCUUGCAUUACUGUUCUUAUUAUGAGUAAUGGCUAGUUCUUUUAUGAGUUCUGUAAAAAUAAAAUGGUUUUAGGACAGUAGACAUAAAACUAUAAAUACAAACUUAAUUUACUUUUAGAAAACUAAUGAAAAUUGUAGGUGCAAUGGUCUUUUUGUAAGGUAACAACAAGUAAUUAAGUAAAUUAGAAUAAAAUCUGAUUAUUGAUAGGCAAGAGCUGACUGCAAGACUUUAGCCCCAUAAAAAAGAUACCGAAGUAUCUUUUCAUACUUUGCCUCUGGCUUUGCACGCUGUUACAUAGGUAAGAGAUGUGCUUAUCAAUACUGGGGCAGUCACUGCACCGGGGCCCAGCUGCUGCCCCACUGCUCUAAGCAGCGUCCUGCCGUAAGUCUCCAUCUGUAUUACACGCCGUGUGAGCAGGGGCUGCUUGUACACUCCUUGUUACUGUACGCCUUUGAGCUGGCAUGGCACCUCAUGCUUGCAUUCAAUAAAGCACUGGCCUCCAGGAGAAUCAAUCAAACUUCAAUCUCUCUCUCAAUCCCCUUCUCCUUCCUUACCCACAUAGUUUUUAAUUUAGCCCAAAAAGGGCCUAUUUCCUCCAUAAAGCAAACCUUUAAUGGGAAAGCCAUUCAUAGUGACAUUACUAAGGUUUGAGGUACUCAGAAUUAGCUUAUUUUCAUGACGUUGAGUGUGGAAGGACAGGAGAGUGAGACAGGUCAGCCACAGGGUUUGUAUUCCAUUCCUGUGUGAACAGAUCAACAGUUCCCCGAGAGCCUCUCUCUCCUAUUUCCAAGGUUGAACAAACACUUGGCAGCAAUGCUCCUGGGCAGGGCAAGCCCCUCUGCACCAAGGAUUACCCACGCCCACAUUUCUCUUUCUCUCUCUGGAAAGCAGAACACACUGAGUCGCAUAAAGAACAUUGAAAAAACCGCAUACAAACAAAAAUAAAGCAAUCCAAACAUUAGGGGGAGGGUCCUUUCUCUCAAGGACCUUUGGCUCUAGGAGAGGGCAGCUGUCUCGUGCCCAGGUCUAUGGAGACAUUCAGGCCAGAUGAAAUAAUCUCCUGCCCACAACCAGCAAAAAGGCAGGCCAAGAGUCACUUGACUGAGUUUAGACAUAAACUACCCAACCCUAGUUAAGCCUCGGGACAGCUGCAGCUCUGGCCUUUGACUACAAACUUGUGAGGCCUGGAGCCCAAACUAUCCAGCUAAGCUGCAGACCAGAAGGCAGAGGAGCAAUGUUCUUAAAGGGUUGCGUAAAACAAACAAACAAACAAAACCCAGAAAAAACAAAGCCAUUGCCUAACAAUCCUAUAUUGUGUUAAAACUAUCCUUGAAGAAUGAAGGAUCAAUUAAGAGAUUGAGAUAAACAAAAACUAAGGCUCUCUUAUCCACUGCCAGCACACCUGCUGUAAAGAAAUGACAGGCAGCAAACUGUCACCUGAAGCCACAAAGAGAACUCCAGUCAAGGUACGACACAGGCCACAUCACAGCAGUUCUGACUAGUAACUGCUCAUUCUUUUCCUACAUAAAGAUGAAUGUAUGAGACAACCGUUAAAGCUGGACUAUUGUUACACACUAUAAAGAUGUAACUUUGACACAACAUGCAUUGUAGAGCAGAACUGCACAGGAGCAGAGAUUCUAUGUUACUGAAACUGAACUGGGAUUAAUUAAAAUGAGAUUGUUAAAGCUAACUGUAAUCUUCAUUAUAACUACUAAGAAAAUUAAAUAUACAUGGAAAAGAAGGAUAUAGUGAAGAGAUGAAACUGUACACCAGGAAAAAGAAACACAAAAAGGCCAGUACUGAAGGAACGAGGGAAGAAGACGAUGUAAGACACGCAGACAGCAACACAGCCAAGUACCUCCGCACUGGUGACCACUGAAGUCCAACUGGAUUCACCCUGCAACUAAAAGGCAGAGUGGCAGAGUGGAUAGGUAAGUCAUGCUUCCGCUGGAGCCUCACUCUAGAGCGGACGGGAGAAACACUGAGCAGACUAUUGUUGUGUGUUCUGGGGCGGAUCAGCAUAGAGCUUGUUCAGUUUUCUUAUUUACUCGUGUUUUCCUGUCUACGUGCUAGAGCCAUUAUUUAAACUGGGGAAUUAAUACUUCCAGCCAUUGGUGUGGGGCAGUCUGUCUCUUCAAUUCUGUCAGUAUUUACUUCAUAAAUCUUGGGAUUUUCUUGAUGGGUGCAUAUAUUAAAAUUCUUAUACCCCCUUUUCAGAUCAAUUCUUUCAUCUCUGUAUUUGGCACAAGAAACAUCUAUGCUGGGGCUGGAGAGAUGGCUCAGCAGUUAAGAACACUGGCUACUCUUCCAGGGGUCCUAAGUUCAAUUCCCAGCACCCACAUGGUGGCUCACAACCACCUGUUAUGAGAUCUGGCUCCCUCUUCUGGCCUGCAGGC